Molecule: ribosomal RNA, 749 nt
Filed under: uncultured bacterium
Lineage: Bacteria
Description: bacterial SSU rRNA
Rfam family: Bacterial small subunit ribosomal RNA
Source: RNAcentral
GGAAUUUGCGCAAUGGGCGAAAGCCUGACGCAGCAACGCCGUGUGAGGGAUGAAGGCUUUCGGGUCGUAAACCUCUGUCGGAAGGGAAGAACGGGCAUUGGUCUAAUAGGCCUUUGUUUUGACGGUACCUUUAGAGGAAGCACCGGCUAACUCCGUGCCAGCAGCCGCGGUAAUACGGAGGGUGCAAGCGUUAUUCGGAAUUACUGGGCGUAAAGCGCACGUAGGCGGCCUUGUAAGUCAGGGGUGAAAUCCCACGGCUCAACCGUGGAACUGCCUUUGAAACUGCAGGGCUUGAAUCCUGGAGAGGGUGGCGGAAUUCCUGGUGUAGGAGUGAAAUCCGUAGAUAUCAGGAGGAACACCGGUGGCGAAGGCGGCCACCUGGACAGGCAUUGACGCUGAGGUGCGAAAGUGUGGGGAGCAAACAGGAUUAGAUACCCUGGUAGUCCACACCGUAAACGAUGGAUACUAGGUGUCGGGGACUUGAUCUUCGGUGCCGUAGCUAACGCGUUAAGUAUCCCGCCUGGGGAGUACGGUCGCAAGGCUGAAACUCAAAGAAAUUGACGGGGGCCCGCACAAGCGGUGGAGUAUGUGGUUUAAUUCGAUGCAACGCGAAGAACCUUACCUAGUCUUGACAUCCUGGGAAUCCUGCAGAGAUGCGGGAGUGCCCUUCGGGGAAUCAGAGACAGGUGCUGCAUGGCUGUCGUCAGCUCGUGCCGUGAGUGUUGGGUUAAGUUCCCGCAACGAGCGCC